Molecule: ribosomal RNA, 253 nt
Filed under: uncultured bacterium
Lineage: Bacteria
Description: partial 16S ribosomal RNA
Rfam family: Bacterial small subunit ribosomal RNA
Source: RNAcentral
GACGAAGGGGGCUAGCGUUGUUCGGAAUUACUGGGCGUAAAGCGCGUGUAGGCGGUUGCCCAAGUCGGGUGUGAAAGCCUUGAGCUCAACUCAAGAAAUGCACUCGGUACUGGGUGACUAGAGGACCGGAGAGGAUAGUGGAAUUCCCAGUGUAGUGGUGAAAUUCGUAGAUAUUCGCAAGAACACCAGUGGCGAAGGCGGCUCACUGGCCCGGUACUGACGCUGAGGUGCGAAAGCGUGGGGAGCAAACAGG